Molecule: long non-coding RNA, 2751 nt
Filed under: Carica papaya (papaya)
Lineage: Eukaryota; Viridiplantae; Streptophyta; Magnoliopsida; Brassicales; Caricaceae
Description: long non-coding RNA (CPAP_LNC015518)
Source: RNAcentral
CAAGAGAGUGUGAGUUUAAAAGAGGGUAAAAAGCAAAAUUGAGUGAAACACGAGUGCCCAUACUACGAGAGUAAACACGUGAGGAAGUGAUUUGAGGGAUUGCAAUCUAUUUUGUUUGUCAUUAAAAUUUCAUAUUUGAACAUGGAGCCACAAGGGAGUGAAAGAAAAUAAAAAGAUCAAGAAUUCAUCGUCAAAGCAAUGCAACAACAAUUUGAGAGGAUUCAACUAGCUAUUGGCAACAUGAAUGAGAAACUAGAGAAACAACAAAGUGAGUUAAAUUCCUUGAGAGGGGAAGCUUCCCAAACCAAUCCAAGGGCAAGAAGACUUCCAACACCACCUUGUGAUGAGUAAGUGGAGGAAGAAUUUUAAUGACCGAGCUACUUUGGUCAAUAAAGGUCGAAAUUAUGGUAAGGGUUGAAACGAUCUUGAUAAAAACAUUGGGAGCAUCAAAAUAAAAAUCCCAUCGUUUCUAGGCAAUAAUGAUCCGAAUGCUUAUCUUGAAUGGGAGCACAAGGUGGAGCUUAUUUUUGAGUGCCACAAUUAUUUGAAGGAGAAAAAGAUAAAGGUUGCGGCCGUGGAGUUUGGAGAAUAUGCCAUUGUGUGGUGGGAUCAUCUCAUCACAAGUAAAAGGAGAAAUGCAGAGAGACCUAUUUCCACUUGGGCAGAAAUGAAGGCUAUCAUGAGAAGGCGCUUUGUUCCUACUCACUACUAUAGGGACUUACAUCAAAGAUUGCAAGACUUAUACAAGGGAACAAGAGUGUAGAAAACUACUACAAAGAGAUGGAGGUAGCCAUGAUAAGGGCCAAUAUUGAGGAGGAUAGGGACGCUACUACGGCAAGGUUCUUAAAUGGCCUUAACAAAGACAUAGCCAACAUUUUAUAGCUUCAACAUUAUGUGGAGAUUGAUGAUAUGGUGCACAUGGCUAUAAAGAUUGAAAGAAAAUUAAAGCGAAAGGGGAACGUUCACAAGGCAAACCAACACUUACUCGGCCCAAAAUUCCAAUUGGAGGUCGAACUGUAGGGGAGAUAACAAGGCUGUCCAAUUCAAAAUAGAUGACAAAAUCAAGCCAAAAGAUGCUAAUGAUAAUAAAAACAAAGUAUUUUUAACUCCCAAACUCCUAAGAAUAGAGAUAUCAAGUGUUUCAGAUGCUUGGGUUUUGUCAUAUUUUUGAGUGCCACAACUAUUCGGAGAAGAAAAAGAUAAAGCUUACGACCGUGGAGUUUGGAGAGUAUGCCAUUGUGUGGUGGGAUCAACUCAUCACAAGUAAAAGGAGAAAUGGAGAGAGAUCUAUUUCCACUUGGGCCGAAAUGAAGGCUAUCAUGAGAAGGCGCUCUUUUCCUAUUCACUACUAUAGGUACUUACACCAGAAAUUGUAAGGCCUUAUACAAGGGAACAAGAGUGUAGAAGACUACUACAAAGAGAUGGAGAUAGUCAUGAUGAGGGCUAAUAUUGAAGAGGAUAGGGAAGCUACUAUGGCUUAGAUGUAUUUGAGUGUUUUUGGCCUUGUUUGCAUCACACCUGCUGUUAUUUCUCUUUUAUUUAUCUCAUAUAACAUUCAAGUACAUUUAAAAUUUAAAAGAGAAACUCGUUUCAAGGCUAUUUGUUUGGUUGAGAUUGUUUGUGUAAUUUUUGAGGCUGUUUGGAAACAACUCACCUCCAUUGAGUUUGUUUUCAUCCAAAACUAUUUGUUUCACUUAAUUUGAGUGUUUUGGGUGAUAAUCUAUGGUUCUAUUAGAGAAUUACAAGUUUCGUGCAUUAAAUUCCAUAUUCACUAUUUUUUUUCUUGCCUCUUUUGUUUUCAUUUAAUAUUUCUGUGCACUUGCUUCUUAUUACAUCUUGAGGUAAUAAUGUUGUUUUGUUGUUGCCUAAUUAACAUAAAAAUCAUCAUACACUUAUUUCUACAUCAAGUGUGAGCUCUUCAUUGUUUAAAAUGUUCUAGUUUGCUUAUGGAGUUGAAUUCGUGUAUCUUGUUUCUUUAGGAGUUCUUUGUUAUCUCUAAUUAAAAUUGAGUACAUAGUGAUAAUUAAUUUUUGUUUGAAUUGACUCUUUUGUAUAGAGUUAUAAAAUAUUGCUUGAGUGGUAAAAAGCAAGAAAGUGUGAGCUCAAAAGAGGGUAAAAGCCAAAAUUGAGUGAAACACGAGUGCCCAUACUACGAGAGUGUACACGUGAGGGAGUGAUUUGUGAGGUUGCAAUCUAUUUUGUUUGUCAUUAAAAUUUCAUAUUUGAACAUGGAGCCACAAGGGAGUGAAAGAACAUCAAAUUAUCAAGAAUUCAUCCUCAAAGCAAUGCAACAACAAUUUGAGAGGAUUCAACUAGCUAUUAGCAACAUGAAUGAGAAACUAGAGAAACAAUAACGUGAGUUAAAUUCCAUGAGAGGGAAAGCUUCCCAAACCAAUCCAGGGGUAAGAAGACUUCCAACACCACAUUUUGAUGAGGAAGUGGAGGACGAAUUUGUUGACCAGGCUACUUUGGUCAAUGAAGAUCGAGAAUAUGGUAGGGGUCGAAAUGAUCCUGAUAAAAAAAUUGGUAGCAUCAAAAUGAAAAUCCCAUCGUUUCUAGGAAAGAAUGAUCCGAAUGCUUAUCUUGUAUUGAAGCGCAAGGCGGAGCUUAUUUUUCAGUGCCACAAUUAUUUAGAGGAGAAAAAGAUAAAGCUUACGGCUGUGGAGUUUGGAGAGUAUGCCAUUGUGUGGUGGGAUCAAUUCAUCAAAAAGUAAAAGGAGAAAUGAAGAGAGACCUAUUUCCACUUGGGCC